CACCGCGUAGCUCAGUUGGAAGAGCAUUGGGCUAGUAUUCCAAAGGUCGUAGGUUCGAAUCCUACCGUGGUCG
RNAcentral lists this transfer RNA (73 nucleotides) under Paramuricea clavata. It matches the Rfam family "tRNA". Rfam says of the family: Transfer RNA (tRNA) molecules are approximately 80 nucleotides in length. Their secondary structure includes four short double-helical elements and three loops (D, anti-codon, and T loops). The record is from Rfam by way of RNAcentral. Lineage: Eukaryota; Metazoa; Cnidaria; Anthozoa; Malacalcyonacea; Plexauridae.